RNAcentral lists this long non-coding RNA (488 nucleotides) under Homo sapiens (human). RNAcentral describes it as "non-protein coding lnc-TDRD15-6:1". The record is from RNAcentral. Lineage: Eukaryota; Metazoa; Chordata; Mammalia; Primates; Hominidae.
UUAUUUCUAGGCUCUGUAUGCCAUUCCAGUGAUUUAUGUGUCUAUUCUUUCUCGAGUACCACACUGUUUUAAUUGCUGUAGCAUCAUAGUAAGUCUUGAAGCUGGGAAAUUUCAGUCCUUUUCAUGACAAUGAGUAUGACAAUGAAUUUUUGGAUAUGUCAUUGAAAAUCCAGAGUGAUAAGAGCUAUGUUUGGUUUGGCUCUCUGAGAAUGAAGGCCUUAUUUUGUUCUCAUCUUCACCAAUAGGGGCUCACAAAUUUAGACACAAAGCUCAAUUCUUCCUCAUGGAAAAAUGGAGUUUGAAAGGUAGGUAGUGAAAAUAGUCGAAAAUUAUUUAAUGAAUGUUAAUCCUAUGUCCUGCACAAAAGGAUCCUAUCAGACUCUCAAAUCCUUUUGGCCUUUCCACCUACUUCAUCUCUACUGAAUAUUAGUUCUAGGUUUAUAUCACAAUAUAGACUACUGUUCUUCUCUCAUCCUAGUUUCAAGGCA